RNAcentral lists this ribosomal RNA (226 nucleotides) under uncultured bacterium. RNAcentral describes it as "partial 16S ribosomal RNA". It matches the Rfam family "Bacterial small subunit ribosomal RNA", at positions 538 to 763 of the family's 1533-position model. The record is from RNAcentral.
GCGUUGUCCGGAAUCACUGGGCGUAAAGGGCGCGUAGGUGGCGCGGUAAGCGUGUGGUGAAAGCCCGGGGCUCAACCCCGGGUCGGCCAUGCGAACUGCUGGGCUUGAGCAUAGUAGAGGCAGGUAGAAUUCCGGGUGUAGCGGUGGAAUGCGUAGAGAUCCGGAAGAAUACCGGUGGCGAAGGCGGCCUGCUGGGCUAUUGCUGACACUGAGGCGCGACAGCGUG